RNAcentral lists this ribosomal RNA (493 nucleotides) under uncultured bacterium. RNAcentral's name for it is "partial 16S ribosomal RNA". It matches the Rfam family "Bacterial small subunit ribosomal RNA", at positions 30 to 523 of the family's 1533-position model. The record is from RNAcentral.
AUUGAACGCUGGCGGCAUGCUUUACACAUGCAAGUCGAACGGUAACAGGUUAAGCUGACGAGUGGCGAACGGGUGAGUAAUGUAUCGGAACGUGCCCAGUCGUGGGGGAUAACGUAGCGAAAGCUACGCUAAUACCGCAUACGAUCUCUGGAUGAAAGCGGGGGACCGCAAGGCCUCGCGCGAUUGGAGCGGCCGCUAUCAGAUUAGGUAGUUGGUGGGGUAAAGGCCCACCAAGCCAACGAUCUGUAGCUGGUCUGAGAGGACGACCAGCCACCCUGAGACGGAGACACGGCCCAGGCUCCUAUGGGAGGCAGCAGUGGGGAAUUUUGGAGAAUGGGGGCAACCCUGAUCCAGCAAUGCCGCGUGCAGGAAGAAGGCCUUCGGGUUGUAAACUGCUUUUGUACGGAACGAAAAGGCUCUGGUUAAUACCUGGGGCUCAUGACGGUACCGUAAGAAUAAGCACCGGCUAACUACGUGCCAGCCGCCGCGGUAA